This 868-nucleotide ribosomal RNA is filed under the name Menisporopsis aquatica. Its description in RNAcentral is "Menisporopsis sp. JC-2021a partial large subunit ribosomal RNA". It matches the Rfam family "Eukaryotic large subunit ribosomal RNA", at positions 39 to 938 of the family's 3401-position model. The record is from RNAcentral. Lineage: Eukaryota; Fungi; Ascomycota; Sordariomycetes; Chaetosphaeriales; Chaetosphaeriaceae.
UACAUUCAAUAAGCGGAGGAAAAGAAACCAACAGGGAUUGCCCUAGUAACGGCGAGUGAAGCGGCAACAGCUCAAAUUUGAAAUCUGGCCCCCCGGCCCGAGUUGUAAUUUGCAGAGGAUGCUUCGGGCGCGGUGCCUUCCAAGUCCCCUGGAACGGGGCGCCACAGAGGGUGAGAGCCCCGUCAGGUCGGCCGCCAAGCCUGUGUGAAGCUCCUUCGACGAGUCGAGUAGUUUGGGAAUGCUGCUCUAAGCGGGAGGUAGACCCCUUCUAAAGCUAAAUACCGGCCAGAGACCGAUAGCGCACAAGUAGAGUGAUCGAAAGAUGAAAAGCACUUUGAAAAGAGGGUUAAACAGUACGUGAAAUUGUUGAAAGGGAAGCGCUUGUGACCAGACGUGCGCCGGGGUGUUCAGCGGGCGUUCUCGCCCGUGCACUCGCCUCGGCGCAGGCCAGCGUCGGUUCUGGCGGGGGGAUAAAGACGACGGGAACGUGGCUCCUCCGGGAGUGUUAUAGCCCGUCGUGUCAUGCCCCCGCCGGGACCGAGGUUCGCGCUCCGCAAGGACGCUGGCGUAAUGGUCCCCAGCGGCCCGUCUUGAAACACGGACCAAGGAGUCGAGGUUUUGCGCGAGUGUUUGGGUGUCAAACCCGCACGCGUAAUGAAAGUGAACGUAGGUGGGAGCUUCGGCGCACCACCGACCGAUCCUGAUGUGCUCGGAUGGAUUUGAGUAGGAGCGCAGGGCCUCGGACCCGAAAGAUGGUGAACUAUACGUGGAUAGGGUGAAGCCAGAGGAAACUCUGGUGGAGGCUCGCAGCGGUUCUGACGUGCAAAUCGAUCGUCAAAUCUGCGUAUGGGGGCGAAAGACUAAUCGA